GCAAGAUGCAAACACGUCUGCCAUGGAGGAAAUUAAACGUCAUAAAGAAAAGCCCAAUUAGGGUUUAAUGUCCGAACAUUACCAUUUCCUCCAGAAAACAAUGAAGUUCACUCGCUGACGUGGCUUGGAGUUCAGGCCACGACCCGCUCGGAAGAGAAGAUGGACCUGUCCCAGCCAGUCGGGUAGACGCCUCCGAAAAUGGAACCAAAAGGAAUGCGAGACUGCAGCCCUCAUCCUGGUUUUUAUGCUGCAGCCAUCCUCCGCCUCUUCCCUGAAGCGUGUGCAGGAAGGAUUCCCCCCCUGCAUUUCUAUGAAUAUUGCCUAGAAAUGAAGCUGUCUGGAGACUAAAACGGGGGAGACAAAUAUAUAUAUAUAGAGAGAGAGAGAGAGAGAGACCGGCGGAAAUGAAAAUGAACCGUUUCUAGGCUGAAUGAGCAGAUUUUGUGAGCUGGACAGUUUGCAUCUGAUGUCUCUCUCGAGCUUAAUUGCUACUUUGAGGAGUUGCCUGUUGUUGCUCAGUCCCCCAAAUAAAAAUAAAAUAAAUACAAAACCAAUAAAUUCCCCUUUAUUAGAGGCUUCUGAGCCCCUUUGCAAUAUUGUUCCUGCUUUAUCGAGUGCCUUGCUUUUUUCCCC
Long non-coding RNA from Alligator sinensis (Chinese alligator), 633 nucleotides. RefSeq lists it as uncharacterized. The record is from RefSeq and is a predicted model, not a curated record. The transcript is spliced from 4 exons. NCBI's taxonomy places the organism in Eukaryota, Metazoa, Chordata, Crocodylia, Alligatoridae.